CGUAAGUGUAUUGGGUAGGGGAGCGUUGUAUACGCGGUGAAACAGUAGCGCAAGCGGCUGUGGAGUGUAUAGAAGUGAGAAUGCCGGAAUGAGUAGCGCGAAUGCAGUGAGAAUCUGCAUGGCCGAAAGCCUCAGGUUUCUGGAGGAAGGUUCGUCCGCUCCAGGUUAGUCGGGAGCUAAGGUGAGGCCUAACGGCGUAGCCGAUGCACAGACGGUAGAGAUUCCGUCACCACCAAAAGAGUUAAGCACAGGGACACAUUUGAAGUCUCGGAGCCGGGUGUUGGUUCCGGUAGCGAUCGAGGGAAAUUAGUACCGAAGUCCGGGAUGGAAGAUGGCGAGAAAAGCUGUGUGUAUUUCUGCGGUGCCCGUACCGCAAACCGACACAGGUAGGUAGGAAGAAGAUUCUAAGGCCAACGGGAGAAGGGUUGUUAAGGAACUCGGCAAAUUGACCCCGUAACUUCGGGAGAAGGGGUGCUCCAGAGAUGGAGCCGCAGAGAAUCGGCCCAAGCAACUGUUUACCAAAAACACAGGUUUGUGCUAAAUCGAAAGAUGACGUAUACGAGCUGACGCCUGCCCGGUGCUGGAAGGUUAAGAGGAGAUGUGCAAGCAUUGAAUCGAAGCCCCAGUGAACGGCGGCCGUAACUAUAACGGUCCUAAGGUAGCGAAAUUCCUUGUCAGGUAAGUUCUGACCCGCAUGAAAGGCGUAAUGAUUUGGGCACUGUCUCGACAGCCCGCCCGGCGAAAUUGUAGUACCGGUGAAGAUGCCGGUUACCCGCGACAAGACGGAAAGACCCCAUGGAGCUUUACUGUAGCCUAAUAUUGGGUUUCGAUGUUGCAUGCACAGGAUAGAUGGGACACAGGGAAACAAGUGCUUUGGCAUUUGUGGAGUGGCCGUUGGGAUACCAUCCUUGCGAUAUUGGAAUUCUAACCUGCGCCUUUGAAUCAAGGCGGGGGACAUUGUUAGGUGGGCAGUUUGACUGGGGCGGUCGCCUCCUAAAGAGUAACGGAGGCGUUCAAAGGUUCGCUCAGCUUGAACGGAAAUCAAGCAAAAGAGUGCAAACGCAGAAGCGAGCCUAACUGCGAGACUGACGGGUCGAGCAGUAACGAAAGUUGGAGUUAGUGAUCCGGUGGUAUGUGAGUGGAAAUGCCAUCGCUCAACGGAUAAAAGUUACCCUGGGGAUAACAGGCUGAUCUCCCCCAAGAGUCCACAUCGACGGGGAGGUUUGGCACCUCGAUGUCGGCUCAUCGCAUCCUGGGGCUGUAUUCGGUCCCAAGGGUUUGGCUGUUCGCCAAUUAAAGCGGUACGCGAGCUGGGUUCAGAACGUCGUGAGACAGUUCGGUCCCUAUCUGUCGUGGGCGCAGGAUAUUUGAUGGGAGCUGUUCCUAGUACGAGAGGACCGGAGCGGACGUACCUCUGGCGCACCAGUUGUUCUGCCAAGGGCAUAGCUGGGCAACUAUGUACGGAUCGGAUAAACGCUGAAAGCAUCUAAGCGUGAAGCCGACCCAAAGAUAAGAUAUCCCAUUGUUUCAAACAAGUAAGACCCCUUGAAGACUACAAGGUUGAUAGGCACGAUGUGUAAGUGGAGUGAUCCAUUCAGCAAGCGUGUACUAAUAGGUCGAGGGCUUAACCG
This 1631-nucleotide ribosomal RNA is filed under the name human gut metagenome. RNAcentral's name for it is "bacterial LSU rRNA". It matches the Rfam family "Bacterial large subunit ribosomal RNA", at positions 1214 to 2925 of the family's 2925-position model. The record is from RNAcentral.